This is a long non-coding RNA of Galeopterus variegatus (Sunda flying lemur), 218 nucleotides long. RefSeq lists it as uncharacterized. The transcript is spliced from 2 exons. The record is from RefSeq and is a predicted model, not a curated record. Lineage: Eukaryota; Metazoa; Chordata; Mammalia; Dermoptera; Cynocephalidae.
CAGUUAAUCCAGGGAGGUGGGAGUGAGCGCAGGUGGAGAUAAAACAAGACUGGCUCUGACUUGAUCAUUGUUGAAGCUGGGUGAUGGGUACAUGGAGUCCACAAAACUCUUGUUUUAUUUUGUAAAUGUUUACAAUUUUCCAUAAUAAAAAAGUUUUUAAAAAAACCACAGAGGCACAUAAAAAAUUACCACUCAUGAUAAGUGCCAUGAAGGAAAAG